GGAGGAAAGCCGGGCCUCCCCGGGCCAGGGCUGGGGGCCCGCAGAGCCCGCCACGCGGCCUUACGCCCGAAGCGGCCGUUAGUCAGGCGAGGGGCCCCCGGCGGCCGCACGAAAUAAAGGCAAAUGGAAGUUUGCUGGUGGAAAACAGAGGUCAGGGGGGAGGGAGGUGUGAGGGGAGGGUAAUCCCUGGGGAAAGGGAGAGCGAGACACAGAAAAGUGCGCCCUGUCCCAGCCAAGAGGACCCUAAGCAGGCAUGAUAAAUACACGCAGUCUGGGAUCCUGGAUGGGAUCCUGGAACAGAAGAGGGAUAUUAGCCACACGACCUUACUGCUCCAGGAGUGUGCCAGGGAAUCCCCUGCCUCGGGGCCUCAGGGCUUCUGCACGUGCCAUUCCUUCUGCUUCUUGUGGAGGGAACAGCUGCACCCCGUGGCAUAUGAUGCAGAGGCAGGAGCUGUGACUGCAGCUAAACUCUUUGUGCUAUUAGGGCACAGCUCUGCCGAGGGAGUCAGCCACCAACCAUCGCCCUCAGCACGGGACUGAGAAAGCAUUCAGGUGGGCGUCCAUCAGUUCCCGAAAGACAUGCGGAGUCCAGCUCAGAGCACGUCCAGAUGCCGGUGCCACGAGUCAAUCCCUGGGAGUACCAGAGUUAAUGAUAACAAAAACUACAAAGUAAUAAUCAUUUAGUAGGUGCCAGGCACAAGGUUAAGCAUCAUCUUAUCUCAUUCUCUCAGUACUAUGUAGGUGCUACUGAAAUUACCCUUAUUUCAGAAAGAAGAAAGCGAAGCACAGGCCGGUAACAGGACCUGAACAAGGUAACAAUGGCAGGAAUGGGUUUGUAGCGUGGGCCUGGCUCACCGCUCACCCCACAGCCUCUGCUGCUGAGGACAGGCUGCACUGCUUCCCAAACAUGCAAAUCAUUUCAGGGAAUGUCGGAACACUGCCAUGAAGCAAAAGCUGAGGCCAGCCUGGACCACAGACCCAGAGAGAGACAGCUCUGCCUCAGAGGACGUUAUGAUCUGUGAGACCUGACUCAUUACAAUAUGGCCACCUCCUCCAUGAAACCCUCCCUGAUGUUCUCAAGCUGAGAGGGAGCACUCCCUGUCUGAACUCCUUUAGAACUUUCUGUGCCUCUCGAGGCAUCAUUCAUGUUUACAGCAUCAUUAAUAUUUGUACACAAGUUACAUCUGUCUUAUUGCACCAGUGCCUCUUAGAGGAAGGGAUGGGUCUCACCAGUCCCUAUCACAGCCAGCUAUAUGACGUGUCCUAAAAGCAAUCACGCUUUGGCAAAUGUCUUUUCUUUUGUUGGUAAAGAUCUUCCCCAGCAUUAACCUGAAAAACUCUGACUCAUUUACCAAGACCCAGCUCAAGUGUCCCCUCAUUUGUGAAGCCAAAAAUAACUUCCCCAGGCAGAGGUAGCAGCUCCUUUCUCUCUCCUACAGCACUUUAUCUCCUUAUUGUACCAUUCCUAUUGUAUCAUAGCUGUCUAUUUGCCCUCAUAUGACAAUGCCUGGAACGUAAUAGGUACGGGGUUAUUGAAUGAAUGAGUACACAAAUGGGUUGUAGGUAUUUAUUUUUCUACCACACCAGUCUGGGUAGAGGUAAGGGGGUGGUGACCCAAAAAAUGGAGGCCCCUUGAAGCCCCUUGGAGCCAAUAAAGACUUCUGGUUAACUCAUUUGCAAAUUCCAAAGGCAGACUAUGCCUGCAAUUCUGAUUUGACUUCCCAUAGUCUUUGUUGUGAUUUAAAAAAUAAGAUUAAACCUCUCCAGCAGCUGGUUCCUACCGGCUUUGGGGAGAUGAAAGUGUCAACAUGUCUGCAGCCACACCAGGAAACUUGCUGCCUAGAAAAAUCAGUUCUGAUUAUCAUAAGAGCUAAGUAUGAGAUGUUGUACUCAGGAACUGUUUCCAUAUUCCUGGGGCCACCGGGACCUGUCAGAGCCCCAGCAUCCCUAUUCAGCCUCCAGCCUCCUCUGUGCUGCCUACCAGUCUCUCUAUGGCUGGCCAGCUUAUGUUCAGGUGGCCAGAUUUCACCUUCCUGAAGUGGUAGGAAUAACUCCGGAAUGUGUUAAGAAACCUCACUGUGGGGGCAGCCUGCGUGGCCCAGCAGUUUAGCACCACCUUCAGCCCAGGGCAUGAUCCUGAAGACACGGAAUCGAGUCCCACGUCGGGCUCCCUGCGUGGAGCCUGCUUCUCCCUCUACCUGUCUCUGCCUCUCUCUGUGUCUCUCAUGAAUAAAUAAGUAAAAUCUUUUUAAAAAGGACUGCUUAAGAGCCACAAUCCUUCUUAAUGUAGAUUUCUGAUAUGAUCAUAUUUCCCCACAUUCCUAA
Long non-coding RNA from Canis lupus familiaris (dog), 2325 nucleotides. RefSeq lists it as uncharacterized. Lineage: Eukaryota; Metazoa; Chordata; Mammalia; Carnivora; Canidae. The transcript has 3 exons. The record is from RefSeq and is a predicted model, not a curated record.